Molecule: long non-coding RNA, 700 nt
Filed under: Rosa chinensis
Lineage: Eukaryota; Viridiplantae; Streptophyta; Magnoliopsida; Rosales; Rosaceae
Description: sRNA RchiOBHm_Chr4g0438061
Source: RNAcentral
AUGCUACUGCCUUGGUUUUUUGUUUUCUCCAGGACUCCAGGUAAAGGUGGAGUUCUGUUUUGAGCCUAAUGGUGUUGUUCCUGUUUGUUUAUGGAGAUGCUGUAUGCAAGCAGGUCUGCCAUUACCCUAAUCCUGUAACAAGGUAAACAAAAUCUAUUGACCUAUUGAAAGAUGGAAAAGAUCAUUUCGUUAAAGCUUUCAUUUCAAAACCACAUUAUUUUGAAUCUUUAUAAUAGUUUGGUUCACUCUUUACCUUAGUGAGAGCGCAUCGAUCAGUAUUCUAUCAGGAAUUAGAUAAUAAAAAGCUUUAUUGAUUAGCUAUUUCUUAUUCCGCUUUAUGCGAUUCUACUAUAUUUGUGCCCAAAUUGUUACGGUCGCAAGUUUGAAUGAAUUCUAUAGUUACUAUACUAGAGAAGAAUAGAGCUUGAAGAAUGGUUUGGGUUGCUUUACUUGGGACUUUUAGACAUUUUUGUCAUGCCAAUUGAAGCUCUUUACUACAUUUCAAAAAAAGGUGAAGAUCCUCUUACUCUUUGUAUUGUGUAUAAGAGUCUUUAGACAUAAGUUCAAUAUAAAUUUCAUUUGCUUCUCUUUUUAAAUCUGUUUUUUUUCUUUUUUUCUUUUCAUGUCUAACAUUGCAGCAGACUUGAACAGAACUAUAUUUGUUAUAUUGUUGCCUAGCGUGAGUGUUUUGGAAUUUUAA